RNAcentral lists this ribosomal RNA (745 nucleotides) under uncultured Bacteroidales bacterium. Its description in RNAcentral is "bacterial SSU rRNA". It matches the Rfam family "Bacterial small subunit ribosomal RNA", at positions 568 to 1319 of the family's 1533-position model. The record is from RNAcentral. Lineage: Bacteria; Pseudomonadati; Bacteroidota; Bacteroidia; Bacteroidales.
UGCGUAGGUGGUUUGAUAAGUCAGCGGUGAAAGUUUGCAGCUUAACUGUAAAAAUGCCGUUGAAACUGUCGGACUUGAGUGUAAAUGAGGUAGGCGGAAUGCGUGGUGUAGCGGUGAAAUGCAUAGAUAUCACGCAGAACUCCGAUUGCGAAGGCAGCUUACUAAGCUACAACUGACACUGAAGCACGAAAGCGUGGGGAUCAAACAGGAUUAGAUACCCUGGUAGUCCACGCCGUAAACGAUGAUCACUCGCUGUAUGCGAUACACAGUAUGCGGCCAAGCGAAAGCAUUAAGUGAUCCACCUGGGGAGUACGAUCGCAAGGUUGAAACUCAAAGGAAUUGACGGGGGCCCGCACAAGCGGAGGAACAUGUGGUUUAAUUCGAUGAUACGCGAGGAACCUUACCUGGGCUUAAAUGGGGAACGACAGCUGCCGAAAGGUAGCCUUCUUCGGACGUUCUUCAAGGUGCUGCAUGGUUGUCGUCAGCUCGUGCCGUGAGGUGUCGGGUUAAGUCCCAUAACGAGCGCAACCCUUAUCGUUAGUUGCCAGCGGGUCAUGCCGGGGACUCUAGCGAGACUGCCACCGUAAGGUGUGAGGAAGGUGGGGAUGACGUCAAAUCAGCACGGCCCUUAUGUCCAGGGCUACACACGUGUUACAAUGGCAAGUACAAAGGGCAGCUACCUGGUGACAGGGUGCUAAUCUCUAAAGCUUGUCUCAGUUCGGAUCGAAGUCUGCAACCCGACUUC